This 253-nucleotide ribosomal RNA is filed under the name uncultured bacterium. RNAcentral describes it as "partial 16S ribosomal RNA". It matches the Rfam family "Bacterial small subunit ribosomal RNA", at positions 524 to 776 of the family's 1533-position model. The record is from RNAcentral.
UACGUAGGGGGCAAGCGUUAUCCGGAUUUACUGGGUGUAAAGGGGGCGCAGACGGCGAUGCAAGCCAGGAGUGAAAGCCCGGGGCCCAGCCCCGGGACUGCUCUUGGAACUGCGUGGCUGGAGUGCAGGAGGGGCAGGCGGAAUUCCUGGUGUAGCGGUGAAAUGCGUAGAUAUCAGGAGGAACACCGGUGGCGAAGGCGGCCUGCUGGACUGCAACUGACGUUGAGGCCCGAAAGCGUGGGUAUCGAACAGG